This 483-nucleotide ribosomal RNA is filed under the name uncultured bacterium. RNAcentral's name for it is "bacterial SSU rRNA". It matches the Rfam family "Bacterial small subunit ribosomal RNA", at positions 29 to 519 of the family's 1533-position model. The record is from RNAcentral.
AAUGAACGUUGGCGGCGUGGAUUAGGCAUGCAAGUCGUACGGACAAGGGGAGCUUGCUCCCUGAGUUAGUGGCGAAAGGGAUAGGACAAUAUAGGUUAUCUGCCCUCGGGACGGGGAUAGCUACGGGAAACUGUAGGUAAUACCCGAUAUUCUCUCCGGAGCAAAGGUGUGAUUCCGCCUGAGGAUGAGCCUAUAGCCUAUUAGCUUGUUGGCGGGGUAACGGCCCACCAAGGCUAAGAUGGGUACCGGGCGUGAGAGCGUGACCCGGAUCACUGGGACUGAGACACUGCCCAGACACCUACGGGUGGCUGCAGUCGAGAAUCUUCGGCAAUGGACGAAAGUCUGACCGAGCGACGCCGCGUGAGCGAUGAAGGCCGUUGUGUUGUAAAGCUCUGUAAGUUGGGAGGAAGUGUACGGGGGCAAUCCCCUGUACUUGACCUAUCUUCAAAGUAAGGACGGGCUAAGUUCGUGCCAGCAGCCGCA